This 301-nucleotide ribosomal RNA is filed under the name uncultured bacterium. RNAcentral's name for it is "partial 16S ribosomal RNA". It matches the Rfam family "Bacterial small subunit ribosomal RNA", at positions 509 to 807 of the family's 1533-position model. The record is from RNAcentral.
CAGCAGCCGCGGGAAUACGGAGGGUGCAAGCGUUAAUCGGAAUUACUGGGCGUAAAGCGUGCGUAGGCGGUUCGUUAAGCCUGUUGUGAAAGCCCCGGGCUCAACCUGGGAAUGGCAAUGGAUACUGGCGAGCUAGAGUGUGUCAGAGGAUGGUGGAAUUCCCGGUGUAGCGGUGAAAUGCGUAGAGAUCGGGAGGAACAUCAGUGGCGAAGGCGGCCAUCUGGGACAACACUGACGCUGAGGCACGAAAGCGUGGGGAGCAAACAGGAUUAGAUACCCCGGUAGUCCCUGUCUCUUAUAC